RNAcentral lists this transfer RNA (67 nucleotides) under marine eukaryotic metagenome. It matches the Rfam family "tRNA", at positions 5 to 66 of the family's 71-position model. Rfam says of the family: Transfer RNA (tRNA) molecules are approximately 80 nucleotides in length. Their secondary structure includes four short double-helical elements and three loops (D, anti-codon, and T loops). The record is from RNAcentral.
CCGUAGCUCAGUGGUUAGAGCAGUCGGCUCAUAACCGAUCGGUCGCAGGUUCGAUCCCUGCCGGGCC